UCAAAAAAAGUUUUUAGAACACUAACUUUGGGAGUUAGAGGGUAGCGUAAGCUAUUUUUGAA
This 62-nucleotide transfer RNA is filed under the name Hermissenda emurai. Its description in RNAcentral is "tRNA-Pro". The record is from RNAcentral. Lineage: Eukaryota; Metazoa; Mollusca; Gastropoda; Nudibranchia; Glaucidae.